This 320-nucleotide ribosomal RNA is filed under the name uncultured eukaryote. RNAcentral describes it as "partial 18S ribosomal RNA". It matches the Rfam family "Eukaryotic small subunit ribosomal RNA", at positions 1470 to 1796 of the family's 1831-position model. The record is from RNAcentral.
CCCCUAGAUGUUCUGGGCCGCACGCGCGCUACACUGAACAGUUCAACAAGUCUUAACCUUGGCCGAUAGGUCUGGGUAAUCUUUGAACGCUGUUCGUGAUUGGGAUAGACCUUUGCAAUUAUGGGUCUUCAACGAGGAAUUCCUAGUAAACGCAAGUCAUCAGCUUGCAUUGAUUACGUCCCUGCCCUUUGUACACACCGCCCGUCGCACCUACCGAUUGAAUGGUCCGGUGAAAUCUCGGGACGGCGGCUUGGUCGCUUGCGUCCGACUGCUGAAACUUGAUUAAACCAUAUCAUUCAGAGGAAGGUGANGUCGUAACA